CUGACGGCAACAGACCCACUGCUACAACACAUUACACAGGUACAGUCCGGAGGUCAGUACUGACGGCAACAGACCCACUGCUACAACACAUUACACAGGUACAGUCUGGAGGUCAGUACUGACAGCAACAGACCCACUGCUACAACACAUUACACAGGUACAGUCCGGAGGUCAGUACUGACGGCAACAGACCCACUGCUACAACACAUUACACAGGUACAGUCCGGAGGUCAGUACUGACGGCAACAGACCCACUGCUACAACACAUUACACAGGUACAGUCCGGAGGUCAGUACUGACAGCAACAGACCCACUGCUACAACACAUUACACAG
This is a long non-coding RNA of Coregonus clupeaformis (lake whitefish), 334 nucleotides long. RefSeq lists it as uncharacterized. The transcript has 3 exons. NCBI's taxonomy places the organism in Eukaryota, Metazoa, Chordata, Actinopteri, Salmoniformes, Salmonidae. The record is from RefSeq and is a predicted model, not a curated record.